Pelobates cultripes (western spadefoot toad) is the source of this 784-nucleotide non-coding RNA. The record is from the annotation of a GenBank genome assembly. Lineage: Eukaryota; Metazoa; Chordata; Amphibia; Anura; Pelobatidae.
AUUAUUGUUAUGAUACCAUCUUUGCUUGAGAAAUGUUAUAUUUUUAUUGACCAUAUCGUAAAUUCUAUCUUUGAUGAUUUCCCUUAGAUUAGCUUUUUCGUCAAUUAGAUCUUUAUUAACCAUAUUCUUGUUUAAAUUUUCUUUUAAGCUCCAGUUUAACCGCACGUCCAAAAAUAUUGAAAAAGCACUUAAGUGCUGGCUGGUCUUGUUACAGGAUGAGAUUUUAAAACAUGUAUUACCAAACACACCUAAGGUUAGUUUUAAUAAAGCUAAAAGUUUUAAGUCCUAUUUGGCACCUAGUUUUUUACCUCCACUAAAUAAACUGAACCCAGGGUGGUUAUCCAGACCAAUUGGCUUCCACAAAUGUGGGCACUGUAAAAUGUGUACACAUCUUCCCAGGACAGUUAAGCACUUUAUGAGUACAAAUAUGGGUACAUUCUUUGAAAUUAAGCAGUUUAUAAAUUGUUUAAGUAGAAACUUCAUCUAUUUACUCCAGUGCCCCUGUGAGGCACAAUAUGUGGGCCACACAAUUAGGAAAUGGAAAGAUCGUAUUUUGAAGCAUAUACGAGCUAUUGCUAAUAAGGACACCAGACAUAGUGUUCCCUGACAUUGUAUAAACUGUAAUUUGUACAACCCCAAGGAAUUUUUAUGUGUUGGGAUAGAUCUAGUGGAUACGGAUAUCAGGAAAGGCAAUAUAACACAGAAAGUGUGCCAGCAUGAGACCACGUGGAUUUAUAAACUAAGAACACUUGAAAAUACAGGUCUGAAUAUUGAUUUGGAUAUU